AACGAACGCUGGCGGCAUGCCUAAUACAUGCAAGUCGAACGAGAUCUUCGGAUCUAGUGGCGCACGGGUGCGUAACGCGUGGGAAUCUGCCCUUGGGUUCGGAAUAACAUCUGGAAACGGAUGCUAAUACCGGAUGAUGACGUAAGUCCAAAGAUUUAUCGCCCAAGGAUGAGCCCGCGUAGGAUUAGCUAGUUGGUGAGGUAAAGGCUCACUAAGGCUACGAUCCUUAGCUGGUCUGAGAGGAUGAUCAGCCACACUGGGACUGAGACACGGCCCAGACUCCUACGGGAGGCAGCAGUAGGGAAUAUUGGACAAUGGGGGCAACCCUGAUCCAGCAAUGCCGCGUGAGUGAUGAAGGCCUUAGGGUUGUAAAGCUCUUUUACCCGAGAUGAUAAUGACAGUAUCGGGAGAAUAAGCUCCGGCUAACUCCGUGCCAGCAGCCGCGGUAAUACGGAGGGAGCUAGCGUUGUUCGGAAUUACUGGGCGUAAAGCGCACGUAGGCGGUUAUUUAAGUCAGAGGUGAAAGCCCGGGGCUCAACCCCGGAACUGCCUUUGAGACUGGAUAACUUGAAUCCAGGAGAGGUGAGUGGAAUUCCGAGUGUAGAGGUGAAAUUCGUAGAUAUUCGGAAGAACACCAGUGGCGAAGGCGGCUCACUGGACUGGUAUUGACGCUGAGGUGCGA
RNAcentral lists this ribosomal RNA (682 nucleotides) under uncultured Alphaproteobacteria bacterium. RNAcentral describes it as "bacterial SSU rRNA". It matches the Rfam family "Bacterial small subunit ribosomal RNA", at positions 28 to 756 of the family's 1533-position model. The record is from RNAcentral. Lineage: Bacteria; Pseudomonadati; Pseudomonadota; Alphaproteobacteria.